AUUGAACGCUGGCGGCAUGCCUUACACAUGCAAGUCGAACGGCAGCACGGGAGCAAUCCUGGUGGCGAGUGGCGAACGGGUGAGUAAUAUAUCGGAACGUGCCCAGUCGUGGGGGAUAACGUAGCGAAAGCUACGCUAAUACCGCAUACGAUCUAUGGAUGAAAGCGGGGGAUCGCAAGACCUCGCGCGAUUGGAGCGGCCCGAUAUCAGAUUAGGUAGUUGGUGAGGUAAAGGCUCACCAAGCCGACGAUCUGUAGCUGGUCUGAGAGGACGACCAGCCACACU
Molecule: ribosomal RNA, 285 nt
Filed under: uncultured bacterium
Lineage: Bacteria
Description: partial 16S ribosomal RNA
Rfam family: Bacterial small subunit ribosomal RNA
Source: RNAcentral